Molecule: non-coding RNA, 1035 nt
Organism: Cucurbita pepo subsp. pepo (vegetable marrow)
Lineage: Eukaryota; Viridiplantae; Streptophyta; Magnoliopsida; Cucurbitales; Cucurbitaceae
Source: RefSeq, a predicted model, not a curated record
UUCUUUGUCCUCUUACAGUUAUCUUUGUCCUCUUACAGUUAUGGCUAUCAUCACAAUAGGACCUUGUUUGUAACGAUAAGGGUUUCAGAGGAAAAAAAAAAAAAAAAAAAAGGAACGCCUUAAAUCUCGCCGGAAAUCGCAGGAUUUUCGGUGAGGCAUGCCUUGUCAACAAGGGCAUAUUAAUUCCUUGAGUGCCCAUGUUAAACCCUAGCUACCUUAGUAGCCGUCCUUUCUUUUUGAGCUAUAUCGUACCUGUGAGGGAGGAGACGAAAGGUUUAGGUGAGGAAUCGAAAACGUCUCGAGACUUCAGACUUUGUGAGUCCUUAGAUAGGAGCAAACCGGCGCCAGGGUACGUCGGGCAAGGAGGGACAGACGCGCCACCAGAGACAAACGGACGGACGACGACCAUUCCACCGACGACAGUAGUCGAGUUCUUUGAUUAGGGUUGUCGAGGCUUUCGGGCGAGGAAGACGAAGCGGCGGCCGCGGGUUGACCCUUCGACAUUCCGCGAGUUCGUCUCGGUCAGCGUACAGGCCGCACCUCGCGGGCCGCGCUGGAACACCACCAUUGGGCCUCGUUCCCUUUCGGCCCAACCCAGAGACGCAUCCAGGAACCCUAUGCCGUCAAUGUCCUUCGCAGCGGAGUUUCGGCGUUGUCGGCGGCUUCGUUGCACUCCCGGCUCGGCUAGGUCGGCUUGGUGUUGCGGCUUAGCAGGCUGGACAUACGUAUAAUAUAUCGAUUCCUAGGUAUUUGACCCUUCUGAAGCCAUUCCCACCCUUGUUUCAACCGUCUGAGGAGGUAGUUAGGCGUCGGGGUUAGCGUGGUGAGUGACUUCGGCCAAGGCCAAAGGGGUAAGGGCAAGGCUCUCAUGUACGGCUGACGGUGGAUGCUGCGAAGGCCAUGGAAAUCUUGAGGAGAGUUUGUAGUGUCGUAGGCACUUGUUGGAUUCUUUUGGGUUCAUAGUUAUUGCAAUUGUUCCCUCUAGUUCUCUGUUGAUUAUUUCUAAGCUAGGUUGUCGUUAUUGAUUUCCCCAGG